GGAUUAUUGGGGCGUAAGCGCGCGCAGGUGGUUUCUUAAGUCUGAUGUGAAAGCCCACGGCUCAACCGUGGAGGGUCAUUGGAAACUGGGAGACUUGAGUGCACAAGAGGAAAGUGGAAUUCCAUGUGUAGCGGUGAAAUGCGUAUAGAUAUGGAGGAACACCAGUGGCGAAGGCGACUUUCCGGUCUGUAACUGACACUGACGCGCGAAAGCGUGGGGAGCAAACAGGAUUACCUACCCUGCUAGUCCUCGCCGCCAUCGAUGAUUGCUGAUUGUUA
This 278-nucleotide ribosomal RNA is filed under the name Bacillus cereus. Its description in RNAcentral is "partial 16S ribosomal RNA". It matches the Rfam family "Bacterial small subunit ribosomal RNA", at positions 548 to 825 of the family's 1533-position model. The record is from RNAcentral. Lineage: Bacteria; Bacillati; Bacillota; Bacilli; Caryophanales; Bacillaceae.